RNAcentral lists this long non-coding RNA (205 nucleotides) under Lupinus angustifolius (narrow-leaved blue lupine). RNAcentral's name for it is "long non-coding RNA (LANG_LNC002619)". The record is from RNAcentral. Lineage: Eukaryota; Viridiplantae; Streptophyta; Magnoliopsida; Fabales; Fabaceae.
GGCUGCUGGAAGGCUAAGGUUCCGAAUGGAAGGAAUCGAAAGCAUUGAAACCGGCAUUGACCACUUCACAUUACAAGACUUGACGUAGACUGCUGGAUUACUACAAGAUAAAGCAGUGACCCAGACUCAGACGAUCGCAAAAUCCCUAUAUUUUUACUAGAUAGCAGAUUCAAUCGUCUUUUGUCCUAGCCGAUGCCAUCCUAAG